CUUUCUACUUCUGGCAUCUGUCUUCUGUCAGAAGCCAGAAGAUAGAAGACAGAAGAUAGAAGUCUUCUAUCUUCUGGCUUCUGACAUCUGGCUGCUAGCUUUUGGCUUCUGACUUC
This 116-nucleotide small nucleolar RNA is filed under the name Aedes aegypti (yellow fever mosquito). Its description in RNAcentral is "Small nucleolar RNA SNORA17". It matches the Rfam family "Small nucleolar RNA SNORA17". From Rfam's summary of the family: snoRNA ACA 17 belongs to the H/ACA family of snoRNAs and is predicted to guide pseudouridylation of the 28S rRNA at positions U4659 and U4598. The record is from Rfam by way of RNAcentral. Lineage: Eukaryota; Metazoa; Arthropoda; Insecta; Diptera; Culicidae.